Molecule: ribosomal RNA, 460 nt
Filed under: uncultured Treponema sp.
Lineage: Bacteria; Pseudomonadati; Spirochaetota; Spirochaetia; Treponematales; Treponemataceae
Description: partial 16S ribosomal RNA
Rfam family: Bacterial small subunit ribosomal RNA
Source: RNAcentral
ACGGGAGGCAGCAGCUAAGAAUCUUCCGCAAUGGACGAAAGUCUGACGGAGCGACGCCGCGUGGAUGAUGAAGGCCGGAAGGUUGUAAAAUCCUUUUAUAACUGAGGAAUAAGUAUUAUCAGAGAAAGGUAGUAUGGUGACUGUAGGUUAUGAAUAAGCAACGGCUACUUACGUGCCAGCAGCCGCGGUAACCAGUACGUUGCGAGAGUUGUUCGGAAUUAUUGGGCGUAAAGGGCAUGUAGGCGGUUUUGCAAGCUUGGUGUGAAAUCCCGGGGCUCAACUCCGGAAUUUCGUUGAGAACUGCAGAACUAGAGUCACUGAGGGGCAAUCAGAAUUCCAGGUGUAGGGGUGAAAUCUGUAGACAUCUGGAAGAAUACCAAUGGCGAAGGCAGGUUACCAGCAGAUGACUGACGCUGAGGUGCGAAGGUGCGGGGAGCAAACAGGAUUAGAUACCCUGGUA